This 468-nucleotide ribosomal RNA is filed under the name uncultured bacterium. RNAcentral describes it as "partial 16S ribosomal RNA". It matches the Rfam family "Bacterial small subunit ribosomal RNA", at positions 28 to 507 of the family's 1533-position model. The record is from RNAcentral.
GAUGAACGCUGGCGGCGUGCUUAACACAUGCAAGUCGAACGGAAAGGCCAGUGCUUGCACUGGUACUCGAGUGGCGAACGGGUGAGUAACACGUGGGUGAUCUGCCCUGCACUUCGGGAUAAGCCUGGGAAACUGGGUCUAAUACCGGAUAGGACAAUGGUUUGGAUGCCGUUGUGGAAAGUUUUUUCGGUGUGGGAUGAGCUCGCGGCCUAUCAGCUUGUUGGUGGGGUAAUGGCCUACCAAGGCGUCGACGGGGAGCCGGCCUGCGAGGGUGUACGGCCACAUUGGGACUGAGAUACGGCCCAGACUCCUACGGGAUGCAGCAGUGGGGAAUAUUGCACAAUGGGCGCAAGCCUGAUGCAGCGACGCCGCGUGGGGGAUGACGGCCUUCGGGUUGUAAACUCCUUUCGCUAGGGACGAAGCGUAUUUGUGACGGUACCUGGAGAAGAAGCACCGGCUAACUACGUG